RNAcentral lists this ribosomal RNA (389 nucleotides) under uncultured bacterium. Its description in RNAcentral is "bacterial SSU rRNA". It matches the Rfam family "Bacterial small subunit ribosomal RNA", at positions 30 to 418 of the family's 1533-position model. The record is from RNAcentral.
AUUGAACGCUGGCGGCAUGCCUUACACAUGCAAGUCGAACGGCAGCACGGGGGCAAUCCUGGUGGCGAGUGGCGAACGGGUGAGUAAUAUAUCGGAACGUGCCCAGUCGUGGGGAUAACGUAGCGAAAGCUACGCUAAUACCGCAUACGAUCUAUGGAUGAAAGCGGGGGAUCGCAAGACCUCGCGCGAUUGGAGCGGCCGAUAUCAGAUUAGGUAGUUGGUGAGGUAAAGGCUCACCAAGCCGACGAUCUGUAGCUGGUCUGAGAGGACGACCAGCCACACUGGGACUGAGACACGGCCCAGACUCCUACGGGAGGCAGCAGUGGGGAAUUUUUGGACAAUUGGGCGCAAGCCUGAUCCAGCAAUGCCGCGUGCAGGAUGAAGGCCUU